This 543-nucleotide ribosomal RNA is filed under the name uncultured bacterium. Its description in RNAcentral is "partial 16S ribosomal RNA". It matches the Rfam family "Bacterial small subunit ribosomal RNA", at positions 355 to 891 of the family's 1533-position model. The record is from RNAcentral.
UGGGGAAUUUUGGACAAUGGGCGAAAGCCUGAUCCAGCAAUGCCGCGUGUGUGAAGAAGGCCUUCGGGUUGUAAAGCACUUUUGUCCGGAAAGAAAUCCUUGGCUCUAAUACAGUCGGGGGAUGACGGUACCGGAAGAAUAAGCACCGGCUAACUACGUGCCAGCAGCCGCGGUAAUACGUAGGGUGCAAGCGUUAAUCGGAAUUACUGGGCGUAAAGCGUGCGCAGGCGGUUUGCUAAGACCGAUGUGAAAUCCCCGGGCUCAACCUGGGAACUGCAUUGGUGACUGGCGGGCUAGAGUAUGGCAGAGGGGGGUAGAAUUCCACGUGUAGCAGUGAAAUGCGUAGAGAUGUGGAGGAAUACCGAUGGCGAAGGCAGCCCCCUGGGCCAAUACUGACGCUCAUGCACGAAAGCGUGGGGAGCAAACAGGAUUAGAUACCCUGGUAGUCCACGCCCUAAACGAUGUCAACUAGUUGUUGGGGAUUCAUUUCCUUAGUAACGUAGCUAACGCGUGAAGUUGACCGCCUGGGGAGUACGGUCGCAA